GGGGAGAGGUGCUUGCACCUUUCAAGCGAGUGGCGAACGGGUGAGUAACACGUGGAUAACCUGCCUCAAGGUUGGGGAUAACAUUUGGAAACAGAUGCUAAUACCGAAUAAAACUUAGUAUCGCAUGAUAUCAAGUUAAAAGGCGCUACGGCGUCACCUAGAGAUGGAUCCGCGGUGCAUUAGUUAGUUGGUGGGGUAAAGGCUUACCAAGACGAUGAUGCAUAGCCGAGUUGAGAGACUGAUCGGCCACAUUGGGACUGAGACACGGCCCAAACUCCUACGGGAGGCUGCAGUAGGGAAUCUUCCACAAUGGGCGCAAGCCUGAUGGAGCAACGCCGCGUGUGUGAUGAAGGCUUUCGGGUCGUAAAGCACUGUUGUAUGGGAAGAAAUGCUAAAAUAGGGAAUGAUUUUAGUUUGACGGUACCAUACCAGAAAGGGACGGCUAAAUACGUGCCAGCAGCCGCGGUAAUACGUAUGUCCCGAGCGUUAUCCGGAUUUAUUGGGCGUAAAGCGAGCGCAGACGGUUGAUUAAGUCUGAUGUGAAAGCCCGGAGCUCAACUCCGGAAUGGCAUUGGAAACUGGUUAACUUGAGUGUUGUAGAGGUAAGUGGAACUCCAUGUGUAGCGGUGGAAUGCGUAGAUAUAUGGAAGAACACCAGUGGCGAAGGCGGCUUACUGGACAACAACUGACGUUGAGGCUCGAAAGUGUGGGUAGCAAAACAGGAUUAGAUACCCUGGUAGUCCACACCGUAAACGAUGAAUACUAGGUGUUAGGAGGUUUCCGCCUCUAAUGCCGAAGCUAACGCAUUAAGUAUUCCGCCUGGGGAGUACGACCGCAAGGUUGAAACUCAAAGGAAUUGACGGGGACCCGCACAAGCGGUGGAGCAUGUGGUUUAAUUCGAAGCAACGCGAAGAACCUUACCAGGUCUUGACAUCCUUUGAAGCUUUUAGAGAUAGAAGUGUUCUCUUCGGAGACAAAGUGACAGGUGGUGCAUGGUCGUCGUCAGCUCGUGUCGUGAGAUGUUGGGUUAAGUCCCGCAACGAGCGCAACCCUUAUUGUUAGUUGCCAGCAUUCAGUUGGGCACUCUAGCGAGACUGCCGGUGACAAACCGGAGGAAGGCGGGGACGACGUCAGAUCAUCAUGCCCCUUAUGACCUGGGCUACACACGUGCUACAAUGGCGUAUACAACGAGUUGCCAACCUGCGAAGGUGAGCUAAUCUCUUAAAGUACGUCUCAGUUCGGACUGCAGUCUGCAACUCGACUGCACGAAGUCGGAAUCGCUAGUAAUCGCGGAUCAGCACGCCGCGGUGAAUACGUUCCCGGGUCUUGUACACACCGCCCGUCACACCAUGGGAGUUUGUAAUGCCCAAAGCCGGUGGCCUAACCUUCGGGAGGGAGCCGUCUAAGGCAGGACAGAUGACUGGGGUGAAGUCGUCACUUUGAUGGCCGUA
Molecule: ribosomal RNA, 1451 nt
Filed under: uncultured bacterium
Lineage: Bacteria
Description: bacterial SSU rRNA
Rfam family: Bacterial small subunit ribosomal RNA
Source: RNAcentral